Molecule: ribosomal RNA, 253 nt
Filed under: uncultured bacterium
Lineage: Bacteria
Description: partial 16S ribosomal RNA
Rfam family: Bacterial small subunit ribosomal RNA
Source: RNAcentral
UACAGAGGGUGCAAGCGUUGUCCGGAUUUAUUGGGUUUAAAGGGUGCGUAGGUGGCCUUAUAAGUCAGUGGUGAAAGCCUGCAGCUUAACUGUAGGAUUGCCAUUGAUACUGUAGGGCUUGAGUAUUGAUGAGGUAGGCGGAAUUGAUAGUGUAGCGGUGAAAUGCAUAGAUAUUAUCAAGAACACCGAUUGCGAAGGCAGCUUACUAAGGAAUAACUGACACUGAGGCACGAAAGCGUGGGGAUCAAACAGG